This 253-nucleotide ribosomal RNA is filed under the name uncultured bacterium. Its description in RNAcentral is "partial 16S ribosomal RNA". It matches the Rfam family "Bacterial small subunit ribosomal RNA", at positions 524 to 776 of the family's 1533-position model. The record is from RNAcentral.
UACGUAGGGGGCUAGCGUUGUCCGGAAUCAUUGGGCGUAAAGCGCGUGUAGGCGGUCCGGUAAGUCCGCUGUGAAAGUCGGGGGCUCAACCCUCGGAUGCCGGUGGAUACUGUCGGGCUUGAGUACGGAAGAGGCGAGUGGAAUUCCUAGUGUAGAGGUGAAAUUCGUAGAUAUUAGGAAGAACACCAGUGGCGAAGGCGGCUCACUGGCCCGGUACUGACGCUGAGGCGCGAAAGCGUGGGGAGCAAACAGG